This 253-nucleotide ribosomal RNA is filed under the name uncultured bacterium. RNAcentral's name for it is "partial 16S ribosomal RNA". It matches the Rfam family "Bacterial small subunit ribosomal RNA", at positions 524 to 776 of the family's 1533-position model. The record is from RNAcentral.
GACGUAGGGGGCGAGCGUUGUCCGGAUUUAUUGGGCGUAAAGAGCUCGUAGGCGGCUCGUUGCGUCGGCUGUGAAAACCCGCAGCUCAACUGUGGGCUUGCAGCCGAUACGGGCGGGCUGGAGUUCGGUAGGGGAGACUGGAAUUCCUGGUGUAGCGGUGAAAUGCGCAGAUAUCAGGAGGAACACCGGUGGCGAAGGCGGGUCUCUGGGCCGAUACUGACGCUGAGGAGCGAAAGCCAGGGGAGCAAACGGG